UUCAAGCUUAAUGUAGCAGGAUUAGGUGAGCUGUGAUUGACAGCUGAUUUCACCAAUCAGGAAGGGGCAGUCCCUUUUUAAGAGCCGAUUGGCUGCUGCCCGGGAUGCGUCAUGUCCUGUUUUCCCCUGGGUGUUUACAACGUUAGCGGCAGUGUGUCGUCUGUCGUGCUGGUGCCCUUGUGCGGUUAGUGGUGUACGUGAUGGUGUACCCUCAGUUGGCUAUGGGUUUUCCUGCUGUUGGUUAACAUGUGCUGUAAAACAAUAAAUUGUCUGGGGUGAUGCCACUUUUCGGAGUCUCCCUUUCGUUCUACGCUGUGUCUCCCGUUGCGCUGUCUUUUGAUUCUCGCGCUGCAGUGUUGCACCGCUGUCACCGACGUCAUUAUCUGUGCCAUUGCACACUGGACUGUGUACUGUCUGGUUCUGUUGUGAGCCUAGCGUUUACGCUCCACGUGAGACGUUAAUAUCUCAGAGCCGUGGUUCGCUCUCGGUGUGAGAGAAACGAGUCGCUUUCCAUUGGCUCUGCUUUAAUGCAUCAACUUACAUCUCUUUGUUUGUUUUUCCUUAUUUUUUGGGUAUUAUCAUUUGUGUUUGUAAACCUGUUUGUGGGUUAUGAGCAAUGUUGUUGACAUUCUGGACUGCUCAUUAUAGCUGGUUCCCAAGAAACUUACUUGGCCGUAAUUGUGAUCUAAAACCUUGUUAAUUGUAUACAUCUUCUGUACUGCCUUACUAUUUUCCUGUGGUUUGGACUAGUAUAAUUAUUUUUAUUAAUUGUUAUAAAUUUAUUUUCUUUUAUAGUGUGUGUGGUGGUCGUCAGCUUUGUGAAAUAAGGCUGGUCGCCACCAUUUUGUUUUGUGUGACCCAAUUAUUUACUUUGUUUUAAUUUGUUGCAGGAGCUGGGGUCCCACGGGUGGAUGGAUCUGUCCGGUGGUGGUGCUUCCUCCUCAGUGGGUGCUGUGUAACACUUGAAGUGUGUGGUUGUGUAAUCCGAAUGCACAGUGGUGUGUGUGUGUGUGCCUUUUUGUAAACACCAGUCGUGAUUAGUGAUUCUUUCCGUUGGGAACCUCAGCCCUGCUGGUUACUAUAUGUUUGUUUUGUUUUCAUUAACCUUAAUUUUGAGUGUGUGUGAUUGUGAUGCAUUUUGAAGUGGAGUGACUGUAUGUUUUGGAGUGCUCAUCUUAAAGGGGUUACGUGUAAAUAAAAUCUAUUUUUGUACUAUACCCACGUCUCUUGCUCACUCUUCCUUUUAAGAGGAACGAACUUGUGUGCCUUACUGCCUUUUGGGUGUAAGGAAUAUUUCCCUGGGUGUAAGUCCCGGGGUGGCGUAGUCGGAAUAUUAUGCAAAAUCUUUGCCUUCGUCAAUCAAAGUUAGGCAAUCCCCCUCGUCCUGCUACAUU
Molecule: long non-coding RNA, 1394 nt
Organism: Paramisgurnus dabryanus
Lineage: Eukaryota; Metazoa; Chordata; Actinopteri; Cypriniformes; Cobitidae
Source: RefSeq, a predicted model, not a curated record